AGUUCCACUGGAAGCCGACGUGCGGCGUGCGGUGCAUCCUGACGGACGAGGAGGCGGCGCUGGUCGGGGGACGGAACCACAGCCACGCGACGCAGGACCUGUACGACUCCAUCGCGGCGGGGAGCUUCCCGGAGUGGACGCUGUACGUGCAGGUGAUGGAGCCGGACACGGAGGAGCAGUACGACUUCGACCCGCUGGACGACACCAAGACGUGGCCGGAGGACCUGCUGCCGCUCCGCCCCGUGGGGAGGCUGGUGCUGGACAGGAACGUGGACAACUUCU
This 282-nucleotide long non-coding RNA is filed under the name Zea mays. RNAcentral's name for it is "long non-coding RNA (ZMAY_LNC002843)". The record is from RNAcentral. Lineage: Eukaryota; Viridiplantae; Streptophyta; Magnoliopsida; Poales; Poaceae.